This 495-nucleotide ribosomal RNA is filed under the name uncultured bacterium. RNAcentral's name for it is "partial 16S ribosomal RNA". It matches the Rfam family "Bacterial small subunit ribosomal RNA", at positions 28 to 505 of the family's 1533-position model. The record is from RNAcentral.
GAUGAACGCUGGCGGCGUGCCUAAUACAUGCAAGUCGAGCGAACGGACGAGAAGCUUGCUUCUCUGAUGUUAGCGGCGGACGGGUGAGUAACACGUGGAUAACCUACCUAUAAGACUGGGAUAACUUCGGGAAACCGGAGCUAAUACCGGAUAAUAUUUUGAACCGCAUGGUUCAAAAGUGAAAGACGGUCUUGCUGUCACUUAUAGAUGGAUCCGCGCUGCAUUAGCUAGUUGGUAAGGUAACGGCUUACCAAGGCAACGAUGCAUAGCCGACCUGAGAGGGGGAGCGGCCACGCUGGGAGUGGGACACGGGCCAGACUGCGACGGGGGCAAGGAGUAGGGAAUCUUGCGAAGGGGGCGAGGGCCUGACGGAACAACGCGGCGUAGGUGAAUAAGGUCUCGGGACGGGAAAACUCUGGUAUUUGGGAAGGAAAUAUGUGAAAGUAAGUGUGCACAUUGUGGGUAUCCGAAUAAAGAAAGCCGGGGAAAACUGCG